RNAcentral lists this ribosomal RNA (211 nucleotides) under uncultured eukaryote. RNAcentral's name for it is "partial 18S ribosomal RNA". It matches the Rfam family "Eukaryotic small subunit ribosomal RNA", at positions 604 to 819 of the family's 1831-position model. The record is from RNAcentral.
UUAAAGUUGUUGCAGUUAAAAAGCUCGUAGUUGAACCUUGGGCCUGGCUGGCCGGUCCGCCUCACCGCGUGCACUGGUCCGGCCGGGCCUUUCCUUCUGGGGAGCCGCAUGCCCUUCACUGGGUGUGUCGGGGAACCUAGGACUUUUACUUUGAAAAAAUUAGAGUGUUCAAAGCAGGCCUAUGCUCGAAUACUAUUAGCAUGGAAUAAUA